Long non-coding RNA from Spinacia oleracea (spinach), 1806 nucleotides. RefSeq lists it as uncharacterized. NCBI's taxonomy places the organism in Eukaryota, Viridiplantae, Streptophyta, Magnoliopsida, Caryophyllales, Amaranthaceae. The transcript has 3 exons. The record is from RefSeq and is a predicted model, not a curated record.
GAGUAAAUCUAAAAUUCACUUUUCAAGAGUUUUCCUUCUCUAUUUUUUCGCCAAUUUCCUCCUUUUCUACAGAGUAUUAGUAUUAUAGUCCAAUUCAAUUUGUGUGGAAUGUGAUGAAUAUUUUUCUCUAUGGUGGAAAUUCAAAGACAAAAGACGAUCUAGAGAAGAAGAUAAUUCCAGAUUGGAAAUUACGACACUAAAGACAAGCCCUAAAUAUAUGCAGAACAAGGUUUAUUUGUUAGUGUUAGUCCGUGUUUGUUGUUCAAACAACUUGUUCUUGCAUAAUUGACUCUUUCUGGCUAUUUCUUUGGCCAAUUUCAUUCUUUGCUGUUGGAUUUCUUCAGUGCCAGACAUUCUACUAUGAACGGUAAGAAGCAUUUUCUCAAUUCAAUUUACACAUUUUUUUUUUGUUCUGAAAAAUCUCUUGAAAUUCAGAAAAUGCUAGAGUAUUGAUUAAAUUCGCUUAAUUUUAUUUUCUUAUACGAAGUAUUUAUUUCAUGAAGUGUGAACGGUUGAUCCCCAAUUUUCCGAUAUCAUUGAUCCACGGGUUUGUUCAAUCUUUAGAUCUUGGUUUCAAAUAAUUAUAAUAUUAUUGUAGUUUAUAGAAAAAAAAAACUUCAUAUCUGUUAUUCUACCCUCUCCAAUGCAUAAUUUUGUUUAAAUUUGUUGGGUUGCUGACUUUCCCUAUUUAGGGGAGUAGGCCUUAAUGAGGACUUAUGCAAAAACUUUGCAACUUGGUAAUUGUUGGGUAAGAUUGCUAACCUUUUUUUAGAUUUGUUACAACUGCAUAUUUUUUGGGAGAUAGCUAGCUAGGUAUGUUGUGUGUUCCUAUCAUGAUAAUAGGUCCUUAAUAAGGCUAAUUGUUUCUCAAUAUUAAACACAGGUUCCCCAUGUGGUAUUCAAUUUGAGAAGAAAAUGCUCAACCUUAUCUGUCUUUAGUAUGAUACGGAGUACCUUCAAGCCAACCUUUAUUUAUCAUGAUACCUUGGAUCCCAAUGUCUUUGAACCAUAUAGUCAAUGUGGAUUACGUCGGAAUUUCAAUUGGAUUGUGUAUAGUAGUUAUAGUGUUACAUUUAUUUUUGUUUUGGAAUUGCUAUUGUACUUAAUUAUAUUUCAAUUCACAAUCUCAUAUCCCUUAUUAGUUCUUGGAAUUCUCACAAAAAGGUUAUAAGAUGAAUGACUUUUUUCUAAUAUUGUUAACUUAGAGGUAUUAGUUCCCUCAAAAAAAAACUUAAAGAUAUUACUCAUAUAAUAGUAAAGACCAUUAAAAUUGAAGGUUAUCUAUCUUUGACAUGUAGUAACUUUUGAAAAUAAAUUUUUUUUUUGGCUAAUAAAAUUUGGUUUACCACAUAGGUGUUUCAUGGAGUUUCAGUAACAUAUUGGCAACUGGAAAAAUUGGAUGAUCCUCAAUAGAUAAGUUUUACAUUAAACCCGCCUUCACCUUCACCUUUCCCUUACCUUUUCUUUUUUGGCAGCAAUUGGAGAAGUUUUACUUGCAUCAGAGAUUCAGAGGCAUUAUCUUUGCAAGUUUUAACGUGUCUUGGAAGUAUAAAAUCAAGAUUAAAUCCCCAUUUUUGUAUUCCAUGAAUUUGGUUAUACUGUAAAUGAAAUUACAUGAUAUAAAGAGGCUUAGUUAUCCAUUAUGGCUCUAUUUUUAGUAACUCCUGUUAUGUUUUUAGUUUUUGGAGUAAUUUAUGUUAUGUUACCCUUUCUUUUUCAAAAUUUGACUAAUACAAUGUUAUUAAUCAGUUGCGCUGCCAAAAUCACACAAUAAUCUUCUGCUUACCAGCAUUUGAAUCCUUGACA